AUACAGAGGGUGCAAGCGUUAUUCGGAAUUACUGGGCGUAAAGCGCGCGUAGGCGGAUGAUUAAGUCAGUUGUGAAAGCCCUGGGCUCAACCUAGGAACUGCAUCUGAUACUGGUCGUCUAGAGUUUAAGAGAGGGAAGUGGAAUUCCAGGUGUAGAAGUGAAAUGCGUAGAUAUCUGGAGGAACAUCAGUGGCGAAGGCGACUUCCUGGCUUAAAACUGACGCUGAGGUGCGAAAGCGUGGGUAGCGAACGGGAUUAGAAACCCUAGUAGUCC
RNAcentral lists this ribosomal RNA (274 nucleotides) under uncultured bacterium. Its description in RNAcentral is "partial 16S ribosomal RNA". It matches the Rfam family "Bacterial small subunit ribosomal RNA", at positions 523 to 796 of the family's 1533-position model. The record is from RNAcentral.